RNAcentral lists this transfer RNA (87 nucleotides) under Gammaproteobacteria bacterium. Its description in RNAcentral is "tRNA-Leu". It matches the Rfam family "tRNA". From Rfam's summary of the family: Transfer RNA (tRNA) molecules are approximately 80 nucleotides in length. Lineage: Bacteria; Pseudomonadati; Pseudomonadota; Gammaproteobacteria. The record is from RNAcentral.
GCCCGAGUGGCGAAAUUGGUAGACGCAAGGGACUUAAAAUCCCUCGUCCGUAAGGAUGUGCCGGUUCGAGUCCGGCCUCGGGCACCA